RNAcentral lists this ribosomal RNA (425 nucleotides) under uncultured bacterium. RNAcentral's name for it is "partial 16S ribosomal RNA". It matches the Rfam family "Bacterial small subunit ribosomal RNA", at positions 354 to 796 of the family's 1533-position model. The record is from RNAcentral.
GUGAGGAAUUUUGCGCAAUGGCCGCAAGGCUGACGCAGCAACGCCGCGUGAGUGAUGAAGGCCUUAGGGUUGUAAAGCUCUUUUACCCGGGAUGAUAAUGACAGUACCGGGAGAAUAAGCUCCGGCUAACUCCGUGCCAGCAGCCGCGGUAAUACGGAGGGAGCUAGCGUUGUUCGGAAUUACUGGGCGUAAAGCGCACGUAGGCGGCUUUGCAAGUUAGAGGUGAAAGCCCGGGGCUCAACUCCGGAAUUGCCUUUAAAACUGCAUCGCUUGAAUCCGGGAGAGGUGAGUGGAAUUCCGAGUGUAGAGGUGAAAUUCGUAGAUAUUCGGAAGAACACCAGUGGCGAAGGCGGCUCACUGGACCGGUAUUGACGCUGAGGUGCGAAAGCGUGGGGAGCAAACAGGAUUAGAUACCCUUGUAGUCC